GUUUGGUGAAAUAAGCCUUGAUUGGGGUGUGCUGUUCGGCUUUGGACCGGGACUCACCGUCGAGACCGUAGUUCUUCACAGCCUUCCGAUCACUACCAACUGACGUCUGUAGCCUUCCCAUCACUACCAACUGAUCUCUGAAUCUUACAAAGAUAUGGAUCAUUUUAUUUGUUUUUAAAUUUCUUCCAUUAAAAUAAAUAAGUGUCUACUGUGUCUACUGCACCGGGCUACAUUCCGGCGAUAAUUAGUUGAAUUGUAUGUUUU
RNAcentral lists this unclassified non-coding RNA (264 nucleotides) under Hevea brasiliensis (rubber tree). The record is from RNAcentral. Lineage: Eukaryota; Viridiplantae; Streptophyta; Magnoliopsida; Malpighiales; Euphorbiaceae.